UUUUUGAUUUUGCUUACUUUAAAGGGUUCUCCUUUUGCCCCAAUUACUUGUACCUUUUCAGGGGAAACUUUACAUCCCUUAGGUAUUUGCUUAAUAGUUGAUUUCUCAGCCCCAGUGUCUACUAAAAAGGUGAACUCUUGUUUAUGGGGACCUAUUUUUAAUUUUAUCAAGGGCUCAUGAUGACUCCAGUCCCCUAAGAUAUAGAGCCCCUGACUCUCUGCUUGGGGUCCCUGGGCAUGUUGAGCAUCCCACAGUCUCAUUCCUGCUCGUCUAAUCAUAUCUCUUUCCUCGGUAGUAAAUAAUUGACCAAGGAUAGAUUGCAUCUCAUCCCAAGUAUAAAGGUUUGGUCCCAAAAAUUGAUUUAAUCUUUCUGCCACUCCCAGUGGGUCCUCAAUUAAGUUUCCCAUUUCGGUUCUUUUAAAAUCUCGUAGCUCAGCCGAGUUUAGGGGUACGGAAAUAUAUCCGAUCACAGGUUGAGGUCCCCCCAUGGGUAUUUCCCUUAGGGGGGGGUACAUCUGAGCUGCCCCUUUUUGACUUCUAGUUACGCGUUAGGAAGAGAGGGAGACCCUUGUUCCGACUCUGGUGGGGGAGUGGGCGCUCUGGGGACUUCUGCGGGAGCAGAGGAGGAAUGUAAGGAGGGGGGUUAGAAGGGUUUCGUCUAACUCUUCCUUCUUUUUCUUUUGUUUAGUUUUUAUUUCAUUCAGCGGAUAAAGUCUAGCUCUCGGUCUUCUAGCCACACUUCCGCAUAUUGACUCUCCUCCGGGUUAAGGGGUUUUUAUUAUUAACCCAGAGGUUAAUUGCUGUCUUACCCAAUCUUCUUCUGACCCAUAGACUGGGCCAAAAGACAUUUUUAGAAAUCUUCUUCCCUCCCCAUUCUUAGUACAAUAUUCUAUCAUUUUUUGCUUAUCUUUCCCUAGGGUUCCAGGGAAAUAUCUCCAAUUGUCUAAGAUAUAUGCCAGAGGGGUAUUUUUAGGUACAGUGUGUACCCUCCCCAUGGGAGUCGAAGGCUUGCUGCCCUUCGCCCCCAUCUUCUGGAUUAUCCACAAACACACACUCACUCGCUCCCCUUAUUCCUGGCCCAGUCCCUCGCGGGAGGUGGAAAACGCAGUACUAAAGGGUCCACACUCGCUUGGUUCAGUAUAUCGAACCUCUCAUUCGUUAUAAUCCAGGAUACCCAAUCCCGCCCGAACGGCGAACCCGCGAACAACUUCGCACCAAGUGGGAUGCCACAAUUGAUAUUGCCAAUGCAUUUUUCUCAAUCCCUUUGGCAGCAGAGUGCAGGCCACAUUUUGCUUUUAUUUGGAGGGGCGUCCAGUAAGCUUGGAAUUGACUGCCCCAGGGGUGGAAACACAGCCCUACUGUGAGAAACUAUGGACUAGGAUAUUGUUUAUUAAGAUUUAUGUCCUCCCCUUAACCCGGAGGAGAGUCAAUAUGCGGAAGUGUGGCUAGAAAGACCGAGAGCUAGACUUUAUCCGCUGAAUGAAAUAAAAACUAAACAAAAGAAAAAGAAGGAAGAGUUAGACGAAACCCUUCUAACCCCCCCUCCUUACAUUCCUCCUCCUGCUCCCGCAGAAGUCCCCAGAGCGCCCACUCCCCCACCAGAGUCGGAACAAGGGUCUCCCCCUCUUCCUAGACGCGUAACUAGAAGUCAAAAAGGGGCAGCUCAGAUGUACCCCCUAAGGGAAAUACCCAUGGGGGGACCUCAACCUGUGAUCGGAUAUAUUUCCGUACCCCUAAACUCGGCUGAGCUACGAGAUUUUAAAAGAACCGAAAUGGGAAACUUAAUUGAGGACCCACUGGGAGUGGCAGAAAGAUUAAAUCAAUUUUUGGGACCAAACCUUUAUACUUGGGAUGAGAUGCAAUCUAUCCUUGGUCAAUUAUUUACUACCGAGGAAAGAGAUAUGAUUAGACGAGCAGGAAUGAGACUGUGGGAUGCUCAACAUGCCCAGGGACCCCAAGCAGAGAGUCAGGGGCUCUAUAUCUUAGGGGACCGGAGUCAUCAUGAGCCCUUGAUAAAAUUAAAAAUAGGUCCCCAUAAACAAGAGUUCACCUUUUUAGUAGACACUGGGGCUGAGAAAUCAACUAUUAAGCAAAUACCUGAGGGAUGUAAAGUUUCCCCUGAAAAGGUACAAGUAAUUGGGGCAAAAGGAGAACCCUUUAAAGUAAGCAAAAUCAAAAA
Molecule: long non-coding RNA, 2179 nt
Filed under: Strigops habroptila (Kakapo)
Lineage: Eukaryota; Metazoa; Chordata; Aves; Psittaciformes; Psittacidae
Description: lncRNA (ENSSHBG00005000051.1)
Source: RNAcentral